Molecule: long non-coding RNA, 1125 nt
Organism: Cyprinus carpio carpio
Lineage: Eukaryota; Metazoa; Chordata; Actinopteri; Cypriniformes; Cyprinidae
Source: Ensembl
GAAUAUCAUUAAAAAAAAUCCUGACUUCGGAAAUGGUUGGGGGGUGGGGAGGUUAAAACGCCUGGUUGAGUGGAUCAGACAAGAGUCAGUGCUGGUUUCGCCAAAAAGCUUUUGCUAAAAGUCGGAGCAGUUCCCACUUUGUCGGGACAAUCUGCUGUAUCUGCAUCACAGCCUGUAAGUGUGCUGCUUUAUUUGUUAUUGUGUGUGUUAUUUACGUUUCAAAGUAGAAGUUGAAUGCCAUUUCUGCGAUAUAAUACAUAUUACCGUUGCACUUUUCUGUACAUAGGAAAUGCAGUUGUUCUUAAGUGGUUGUUGACAUCCUAUCUAAAACAUGAUUUAGCCAAAAAAACAACAACAAUAACUUUACCACUCUAAUAUGUCUUGCAAUUUCCGUGCGUGCAAAGGUUCUGUGCGAUCCUCUUGUUUAAUAUUCUCAGGGUCUGAAUCUGGCUCAAAUUGAUAUGGCAAUAUUGAUGCCAUCCUUAUCUAUACCGGAGCAGAGGGAACUUGCUGCUUUGGCAAGGGGUGGGGCAGUGCUGAAACACCAUCUGAGCUGUUCGCCAAUCACAGCGCACUGGGACAGCUAACCAAUCACAACAGAUUUCGUUUUUUCGGAAGGCGGGCUUUCAUCAAACCCAGAACUAAUCGAGCCGUUUGUGCCAGGCUGGGGAGAAAGUUCCAAACAAAGCCACAGCAGAAUGACCCAUUACGUAUCUCCAAGCAACACACAGUAGGGCUGUUUUGUUAUUGAAUUAAUCAGUGGCUGAAUUUGGAAUGGCAUAAAAGAAACUAGACCUGGAGGGGCUAGAAACUAGCUUGAAGUGCUAAUUAAGCAUCUUAACAUUGGUACAGUUUUCUUGUAUUGCUGUAGGCCUCAUAAGACUAGGUGCUCAAAACCUGCCCUGCUGUACAAUUGCUCCUAUGAAGAGCUGCUGUCAAAACUUUAAUUUCUCAGCACUUAUUGCCUCAGGGCCUGUGAGCUCAUUUCUUCACCCAUGUUCAGACUGAUCCAGUGUCAGCUGCCGGUCCCAUCAAGGCUCAUAGCUCAACUGCAGCCCUUUCAGACCUCUAGGUGAGGUUGGGUGGAGAUGGUAGGAAAUUUGUUUGAACAUGUAUUCAUUUAUA